This 274-nucleotide ribosomal RNA is filed under the name uncultured bacterium. RNAcentral's name for it is "partial 16S ribosomal RNA". It matches the Rfam family "Bacterial small subunit ribosomal RNA", at positions 523 to 796 of the family's 1533-position model. The record is from RNAcentral.
AUACGGAGGGAGCAAGCGUUAUUCGGAAUCACUGUGCGUAAAGGACGCGUAGGCGGGUUUGUAAGUCAGGUGUGAAAUCCUACAGCUCAACUGUAGAACUGCACUUGAAACUACAGACCUAGAGUAUGGAAGGGGCAGAUGGAAUUAGUGGUGUAGGGGUAAAAUCCGUAGAUAUCACUAGGAAUACCGAAAGCGAAGGCGAUCUGCUGGGACAUUACUGACGCUGAGGCGUGAAAGCGUGGGGAGCAAACAGGAUUAGAUACCCUAGUAGUCC